CCAGAAAUUCGUAAACCACCCCAGGCCACCUGGAGAAAGAUGCUUGCGUGAGUGGAGGGCAUUGGAAUAGAUGAGUCCUCUCUGACUCAAGGAUUGCAGCUUGAGCCAGGGUGGCUGUGCCUGCCUGUGAUUCAUGCAGUGUUACAUUUGGCUGGAGUGGUGCUGUGCCCUGAGUUUGCUCUAGCAACUGCAGAGUCUAAGUAUUCACAAAGGAAGAGCUUUUGUCGUGGAAGAUAAAGCCCUACUGACUUGUGUGAAUCCUUCAAGAUUCAAGCAAGAUGGGAGCAAGUCUCGGCCUAGGCCUCCAGAGGCCCACCAUGUCUGUCUCCCCCCACCCCCCACCCCACUGGGCCGGGACCAUCUUCUCAGUCUCCAUUCAUCCUUGUUUUUAAGAACCGAAGUGCCACCUCCCCUGGUACAUUUAAUCAUUGUUCCUGGCACUGAUCCCUUUCUUUGUUGUUUCCAUGUCCUUGCCUUUUGAAGUUCUGGAUUCUCUCCUCAGGCAUCCUGUUUGGAUCCCCCUCCCUCGCAUUGACGUAUGAGAGCCAAGAACAGCCCUGUUCCUGCAGGAGGCUAGCACUUGGCUCAGAAGAGAGAGCUGGUAGUGGUUUCUCUCCCUGACUGUUCUUUGGGUUUAUGUGGGGAUUUAUUAUUCUGAGAACAGUUUGGUAUCUUCCUCAAACUUCUCCCCUAUCAACAAUGUCUUUAUGUCCAAGGGAGUCACUUUGCCUUUAUUGUAUCUAACUAGGUGAAGAUAGGAGCUUUUUCUUAUGUAUCUGUGCAGAAAGGGCUCCCCAAGGACCUUGACGAGCAUCACAGUGAGUGUUGUUAUCAUUGUGACAAACUUGCAAAUCAUCUCCAGUGUCUUACUGUCCUGUAGACCUUGAGUCUGUUCCAGAUCAGGAAGUUUCUGAACUCUUGGGCACCGUGUAUCACCCUUCAGCCCUCCCUAGUCACAAGUCAGCAUGCCAGGUUUAGCUAGAGAGGAAUGGCUAACCAUUUGCAUUUCUGAAGACAUCAACAACACUUACC
Molecule: long non-coding RNA, 1032 nt
Filed under: Cricetulus griseus (Chinese hamster)
Lineage: Eukaryota; Metazoa; Chordata; Mammalia; Rodentia; Cricetidae
Description: lncRNA (ENSCGRG00015038381.1)
Source: RNAcentral